Molecule: transfer RNA, 71 nt
Filed under: Phrynosoma platyrhinos (Desert horned lizard)
Lineage: Eukaryota; Metazoa; Chordata; Lepidosauria; Squamata; Phrynosomatidae
Description: tRNA-OTHER
Source: RNAcentral
GCCAGUGUGGCAUAGUGGUUUGAGUGUUGGACUGUGACUCUGGAAAUCAGGGUUUGAUUCCCUGCUUGACC